Molecule: long non-coding RNA, 1230 nt
Organism: Bactrocera neohumeralis
Lineage: Eukaryota; Metazoa; Arthropoda; Insecta; Diptera; Tephritidae
Exons: 3
Source: RefSeq, a predicted model, not a curated record
UUGGUGGAAUGUGCGGGGAAGUUAAAUAGUGCGCAGAAUAGUGAACUCAUAAAUACGAUGAAAUAUGUUGCAAAAGAAAAUGACGAAAAUAGUGAUGUUGUGAAUUGCGAAAUUUCAAAUGAAACUUUUAGACAUUUAGCUUUCAAAACUUUGAGGGAUGUUUGGAAGUGGAAGAAAUGUUAGAGAAACCUGAGUUCGCACAAUCUAUGAUCAGUUAUGUCCACAAACUUAAAGGGACAUCGGACAAUAUUGAAAACUCUUUCAAAUAUAUGUAUAUUUGCAGUACACUCAGUCCUUUUUUUACACGAUUUUUGGUUCUGGUUAGUUUUCCAAUAUUAACUGACGAAUUGGAUCCGAAUAUAAAAAAUAUCGCGUAUAACAUAAUAUACGCGCAAAAAAAUAUUCAAAAACAAUACAAUAAGUUUCAAAUUUCAGACUUAUGAUUUAUUCAUUCAUAUCAAAAUAAAAAAUACAAAACAAAAACCAUAUAUAAAAGAGAUGAAAAUAGAAAAUAGGUAGAUUUAUUGAAAAAACCGUUGAAUGCUGUUUAAUCACUGUCAUUAUCCGUAGUUUAAAUUAUUCUUAGCCGCUUAUUUUGAUGGCCGGCACUGAGAUCACUAGAAUUUGUACCAGAAUCAAUAGUAAGAACUAUGGAUUGAUGUUCUGAUUUCUUAGCAUUUCCGACUGAGUUUUGUACCAUAUGUAAAUUCAGUUAAUUUUGUUUGAAUGCUUCUUUUUGGACCCAAUAAAUUCCGAUGUAGUUCUUUAUAUCUUAACAUGCAGAGACUCAAUUCUUUUUGAAAAAUUCGUGCACGUUUGGCAUCAGUAUCAUUUGCUACAAAAUAAUUUUCCAAUUCUGCUGCAAGUUUAAGAUCAAGCAAAAAACGAAAAAAAGCAAUCGCGUUAAAGUGAGAAAUUCGCGUAAAAAAAGGAAUUUGCGCUGCAAAAAUAACCGCGUUAAAGUGAAAUAGCGUAAAAAGAGGUCGCGUAAAAAAAGGACUGAGUGUAUUUCAAUUUUGAUGGAAGAGGAGAAAAACAAGCAUUAUGUAAGCUAAAAAUCUUCGAAGAAGUUUUAAGAGUCGUUUACCAGCCACGAGGAUCUUUCAAUUUGGAAAAGAGUAUACGGAAGUCUAUUGAACGGGGUCACCACCGAAAUAACAAAAAAAAUAUAUUAAUAGGAAAAGAAACAAUUAAUAUAAUUUUUCAAUGAUUUAAUUUUAUUUUAUUACC